CAACAAAUCCUCACCUGGAAUAAAUUAUAUUAACUUCACCAAUGCAUUUAAAUGAGCCUAGGAUCUGGCCUGCAAUGUUGAUUUGGUUUUGACUGACAGUAGAUUUCAGAAAAGCCUUCCCUCUUCUCAGUAUUUUUGGCCCCCCCACACUGUCUACGCUGUCCUGCCCUAAAGAAAGCUUAUUUAAAAGCUAGUUUCAGAGCAGCGUGUGCAUGCACUGAUCAAUGAUGAGUCACGUUCAGCUUGAUAAGGAAAAGAAUGGAAAUCCCAACAAUUUAAAGAGACUCCAUGUUCCUGUGUCUAGACUACGCAUGCUGCAUUGGGAAGCUCUCAUUUCCAAGUCCCAAAAUUUGUUUGUCAGGUGGACCUGUUUUCCUUGCAAUCUUGAAUAACUUCCCUAUGUUUCAGGAAGAUGCUCUGCAGAUAUGGGAGUUUCUUAGUUCCCUAGUCAGAUCAAAGGGAUUUCAUAUGGUAUGUAGCUAGUGUAUUUAAGUCUGAAAAGGAAUAAUCAGUUAUCCCAGCAUCGCAGAGUGGGCAAGAAUCUGGCAAGACUUUUACACUGUGAUAUACGAAUUAGCCAUUUGCUCUGUAAGGUCUUGCACCAUAGUGGUCUGUAACUUGCAAGAAGAGCUUAAACUGGAAAAUACAAUGUUAUCCCACUUCUAGUGCUGAAAAAGAUGCUUUCAAAUUCCAAGCUGAAGAUGGCAAUGUUUGGUGUGAAACUGGUGACAGCAAGUACUAGCUGACUUCUAAAUUGGAAAGAAGAGUUGGCAAAGGCAAAAACACAAACAAGGGAGCUGCCAAGUGCAAGGGGAGAAGGAAGUGACAAUGCAAGCAGACAUGAUUACUUCCUGUUGCUGUUUUGAAGGGAUAAAGCAAAUCCAAUGCGCAUCGCAUGAAAGUUUCUAAAGCAGGCGCUGGUAUCACAUGGGUUCAAUCCUCUUCUGAGUUACGCAGAUCAAAAUCCCCAGGACUCAUUUGACCUAGGGACUUGGCAGUUGCACAUGUGCCAGCUUCGUUACACAAAUGUUGCCCCAGUGUUGUGGUUUGGGACAGAUUUGGCCAGAGAUGCACUAAGUGAAUGGCAUUUCUUUGAAUUCAGGAUGACUUACCUGAUAUUGGAGCAAGUUGGCCAUGUGUCAUCUUUGGCUCCCCCAAAAACCUCCCCAAAGCAGAGUAAAAUUUGUAAAAAAUUAAUGAUUCUUACAUAAAAGACAGGAUGUAAAAAAAAUCUGGUUUCUGUAUCCUAACAUUGGAACAAUACAUUCAUUAAGAAUUUCUGAGACUAGUUUUCACCCGGAGGAGAAACUUCAGCUGGACACUGUAGUUGGACAAGUUUUAGGCAGAUAAAACCAGAGUCUAACAACAGCAAGUGUCAGGGCCAGUAACCUUUGCCUGCAAGAGCCAAAACAUAGACUCGGGCAGUAAAUGCCGUGGCUCUUCCAAAGUAAGAUGCUCUGAAGUUUUUUCCAGAAGUAUGAACAAGAUAUGGUGACCCUUGGAGACUUUCACUGACCCGGGCCAAGAAUGAGCUUAGUGGGAGCAAAGUGGAAAUGUCAGCAUGUGGAGGCAAUAUGACACUAUCAUAAAUUUAGCUUUUUUUCCUUAUGGCCAAUCCAUCCAAUUAUUAUAUGUAGAAACUCAGGCUGGAUAUACAAAAUUUUAGGCGCAUUUGUCCAAGAGACCAGAUAGCCAAUCUAUUCUAAAAAUAAUAAUAAAAAAAAUUUACAUUUCUUGUCAGCCAGCGUCAAAAUGGUUUUUAAAGUGAUGGACCAUGGCUCUUGAGAUGAUAAUAUGACAGCUUGCCUAUAUAUUACCAUUAUAAAAGUGCUCUGCAACUGAAUUUCAAGUGGAAGACUGAGGUUGCUUGAGGUUAUCUGCAUUUGCUCUAGCAGUAUAGUACUGUUUUAAAAGGUGCCUGCAUUAAUAUGAAGGCUGCAUUUAUGGAGGAGAAUUUUGUCACCAUACUGUUAAAGGUUCAUGGUGUCCUCAUUCCUUAUUCAAGGCAACGCAAAAAGCUAUUUUCAAUUUUAGUAGCAAACACGUAUGAAAACUGACAUUAAUGCUUUUAAAGUGGUACUCAAAACCCAUAGAAAUUGGAAUCUAGGAAAGCAAACAACGAAUAAUAUGGUUUAGCAAGGUACCAGUGACCUAUGUCACAGCACUGCAGGACCAUAGCAGCAGGCAACUGUAAAUAUCUCAGUCGGGGUAUGAACACCCCAGCCCAGUUAGCCCGGGGCAGGAUCGAUAUUCCCAAUAAAAUGCUGAGCAAGAGAGAGAAGUGAUUAUUUUAGUAGUAAAACUGUAACACCUAGGUGACCAUUUGUGUAAGGAUUCUCCUGGACUAUGUUUAAAACCGUAAGUCUCCAGCUCUUUCAGUGCUGUCACCAUAGUCACAAUGUCAUUUAUACGGAGUGUUUUAAAUAGAGAAAUACAGAAGCGCGGUCUCGCAGUUUUAUAAGGCUGGAAGCUAGAAUUAUUGUCAUCUGCUUAGGCAGACAUUAACAUCACUAGACUUCCCUUAGUUAAUUUCUUUAGGAAACAUCCACUCCUGAUGAAAAGAUUGCUAGGGGUUGCAAAUUCACAGCCACGUUUAGCAAAUCCUCACUUCAUGGGCCCCAUCGCCGAGGACACAUGUGCAGACUUGCUAACAUCCCUCCAUGUGAGCUCAGCUUGGGCCAUGCUAUGAUGUAGUUUGUUAGACCAAUGAGCCAAAUAAAUGUUUUGUCCCUGACCUUAGGUUUUUAUAACCAUCCAUGAAGUAAUCCCCUUACUCUUCCCUCCAGCAAAUCUAUGAGAUCUUUUUUUUUUUCUGGUAUUCCUGCUGCACUGCCCCGAGUCCUUUCCAAACCGGCUGUCUGCCUCUCACAUUGACACCAGCAUUAGGCACGAUACUUUGGAAGCUGGCAAACUUGUGCCAGUUACAGAAAUAGGAUUUUCUGUCCUUCUGUCAUUCCUUCCAGCCAUAGGCAGUGUUGAUCUUUUGGGCCGAACGCAGUGCUGGGAACACAAGGUCAGGCGUUUCUUGUUUGGAUGCUCCACCUGCCUCCAGCCACGGCUUCCUGAAGUCCCCAUCCUGCGAUGCUCUUCUGUCACAGAGCUGACACUCCACAUUUUGCUGGUUUAAAAUGUGUGUUGUUAGCCUACAUCCAACUUACUUAACAAAUGAACUGGAUUUCUCUGCACCUCUUACACGUUUUCUUCUAUCUUUGUACCAUUAGCAAACUUAACCAUGAUGAUUUUGUAUUUCGUCAUCAGCAAAAAUAUUAAAUGGUUCUGAGCCUGGCGUGACAGGAAUGCACUGGCAAUAGUGAUGUGACACCGAUGAUCCCCCAGUUGCGGUUGCGUUUUGAGGGCUGUCCGUCUGCCAGUCGCUAAUCCACGUUAAUCCUCCUGAAAGGAGGAUUGCGAUUCAGGAGUAGUGCUCGCUCUGAGAGGGGUCACAUGGGAAUUCAGCGUGCUUUCACUUCUGCCCCCUGACUUCAUGCCUUUAAUGGGUUUGUCUUUGGUUUUGAGUGUCCCUACAGAAGUGGACUCCUCUGUGAAAUAUCCUCUUUCUGGGGUGGCUGGGAUAGACUGAG
This is a long non-coding RNA of Harpia harpyja (harpy eagle), 3581 nucleotides long. RefSeq lists it as uncharacterized. The transcript has 3 exons. The record is from RefSeq and is a predicted model, not a curated record. Lineage: Eukaryota; Metazoa; Chordata; Aves; Accipitriformes; Accipitridae.